AUUCCCGAACUUGACUGCAGAAAUGAAGGAUAGUUGUUUACUUCUAAGAAAAAAAAAAUCUUAUCAAGGCUCCAAAGACCACAAACGUGAACCUCCUCAUAGGCAGGAUCUGUGCUACAUGCUGAUCACUGUGAAGGGGUUGUCUCACACUGUGACAGCCAGGGGCCUCAGCAUCAGAAGGGACAUAUGACUGCUGUCACCUUUACCAGUGCUCCUAUUCCUUAUGCAAUAAAGCAGUCAACAAGCCUUGAGAACCCAUGCCUUUCCUACUGAGAUCCCAAAUGAACCGGCACCUCCUCGCUGCAAAACAGCAUCCUGCCAUUGGUUAGGUUCUCAGAGGUCAGCAACACGACUAGGACUUUAUCGCUAUCUUCAGACCCAAGACCCCUCACCUACCCCCUAC
Long non-coding RNA from Chiroxiphia lanceolata (lance-tailed manakin), 403 nucleotides. RefSeq lists it as uncharacterized. The transcript is spliced from 2 exons. NCBI's taxonomy places the organism in Eukaryota, Metazoa, Chordata, Aves, Passeriformes, Pipridae. The record is from RefSeq and is a predicted model, not a curated record.